Molecule: non-coding RNA, 229 nt
Organism: Paramuricea clavata
Lineage: Eukaryota; Metazoa; Cnidaria; Anthozoa; Malacalcyonacea; Plexauridae
Source: the annotation of a GenBank genome assembly
CCCAACCCUAACCACUAACCCCUAACCCCUAACCCCUAACCACUAACCACUAAUCCCUAACCCUAACUUUUUUAACUUUUUAAAUUUUUUUAACUUUUUUAAAAAUCUAACUUUUUAAACUUUUCUAGCUUUUCAAAACUCUUUUAAAAGUUUUUAAAACUUUUUUAAAGACUAUUUUUUUAAAAAACUUGAAAAACUCCCCACCUCCGCGAGACCAGCCUCCCUUUUA